GAUCCCGUGGCGUAAUGGUAGCGCGUGAGAUUCCAAUCUGGGAUACGAACGAAGUGUCUCCCAUCCGAGAGGAUGGCGAGGCGACUACUCCUCAAGGUUGUCCGUUCGAUUCGGGCCGGGAUCG
Molecule: non-coding RNA, 124 nt
Organism: Apiotrichum porosum
Lineage: Eukaryota; Fungi; Basidiomycota; Tremellomycetes; Trichosporonales; Trichosporonaceae
Source: the annotation of a RefSeq genome assembly